AUUGAACGCUGGCGGCAUGCCUUACACAUGCAAGUCGAACGGCAGCACGGACUUCGGUCUGGUGGCGAGUGGCGAACGGGUGAGUAAUACAUCGGAACGUGCCCAGUCGUGGGGGAUAACGUAGCGAAAGCUACGCUAAUACCGCAUCCGAUCUAAGGACGAAAGCGGGGGAUCGCAAGACCCCGCGCGAUUGGAGCGGCCGGUGGCAGAUUAGGUAGUUGGUAGGGUAAAGGCCUACCAAGCCGACGAUCUGUAGCUGGUCUGAGAGGAUGAUCAGCCACACUGGGACUGAGACACGGCCCAGACUCCUACGGGAGGCAGCAGUGGGGAAUUUUGGACAAUGGGUGCAAGCCUGAUCCAGCCAUUCCGCGUGCAGGAUGAAGGCCUUCGGGUUGUAAACUGCUUUUGUACAGAACGAAAAGGCUCUGGUUAAUACCCGGGGCUCAUGACGGUACUGUAGGAAUAAGCACCGGCUAACUACGUGCCAGCAGCCGCCGUAA
This 500-nucleotide ribosomal RNA is filed under the name uncultured bacterium. Its description in RNAcentral is "partial 16S ribosomal RNA". It matches the Rfam family "Bacterial small subunit ribosomal RNA", at positions 30 to 523 of the family's 1533-position model. The record is from RNAcentral.